This 1304-nucleotide long non-coding RNA is filed under the name Homo sapiens (human). RNAcentral's name for it is "HSALNT0306469". Lineage: Eukaryota; Metazoa; Chordata; Mammalia; Primates; Hominidae. The record is from RNAcentral.
CUGAAAACCAGAGCUCGUCCGUGGCUUCACUUGUUUUGGACUAAGGAGCUGAGGAGCGUGCAAGACUGUACUUGGAGAAUCUGUUUCUUGCUGCCAUUUCGUCACUGAACACUAUUUUUUUUCUCCUUCUUUUUUUGUAAGAAAAGGAGAACACAUAAAACCCCACCAGAACAAACUCCACUCGGCCCUGAAAGUAUUUACAAUCACGGCCCUGAAAGUACUGAAAGUAUUUACAAUCACGUUACAGUUCAUUCACUGCUGCAGAACCUCUCUCCAGCGAUCAAGGUCGAAGGGAGCCGACGUCGCCCUCUAUCGGCUCCCUGCUGCACUAGAAGGAUCGGGAAGAUGGAGGCUCCUGAAGAGCUGUAGAAGCGCAUCCUAGGCAGAAGCCCAGCAGACAGCAAAGGGCCUGGUUUGUUCAAGGAACUGGAGGGCAAGAAAAUCAGGAGCCAAUUCAUGCAGGGCACAGUUAGCCAAGCCGGACUCACUCAGGAGGCCCUUCAUCUUCAUGUUCCCCACAUAGCAGAGGGGAGGGCAGAAGAUGAGAGGGAGGAGAGAGCAGAGCCAAGAGCCUCCUUUUCUCCCACUGUGCCCCUCCUAUGUGUGGCUCUGGACACCAGGAACCACCCAAGGACAGUGGGACUCCUCGAAAAGAUAAUUGCUCAUGAGGGAUCCAAGAGCAAGGCUUGUUACAUCCUAUAACCUUCACACAAAAUAUUGACUGAGAAUCCUCCAUGUGCCAAGUACUGUUCAAAAACACUGGGAACCCAGCAGGGAUGAGCCACAAGUUUCCUUGUCUUUACGAAGCUUUCAUUCUGAGGGAGUGGAGAGAGACAAGCAAUAAACAACCAAUCAAAACAAAGAUGACUCCUCUGAGUGUUGUGAUAUGCGGGUCAAGGAGGAUGGCUCCCAGGAUGUGACCUCAGAGCAGAAGCCUGGAGGCUUGCCAGCAGCGGGAAGAGCAGCGGCAGGGCACUGCAGGCAGAGGUGACCAAAAGCGUGAAACCUUGAGCUGGGAAGCACGUGGUCUGCUGGAAAGUGGGCUGAUGUAUUUGAAGAGAGCAAGGAGCAGAAUGGUACAAUGGGGUGAUGGGGGAAGAGCCAGGCAGAGCCCAGUGCUGCAAAGCCCGGUAGCACAUACAUGUGUAACGUACCUUGAAGCAAAUGAAUGGCCUGAUCUGGUUUCUGUUUUGGCUGCUCUGUGGUGAUGUGGUGCCUGGGAGGCAAAGAAGCUGGGAAAGAAGCGGUUUUUCUCUUCUAGGUACUUUAAAGCUCUAUAAUAUAUGCUCAGGUGAAAUUUGGCU